UAAAGUGCGAUAUGUAAUGCGAUUUGCAUGAAUCUGUGAGUCAUCAAGUCUUUGAACGCAACUUGCACCUCUCGGGUCAACUGAGAGGUAUGUCUGUUUGAGUACCUGAUCACCAUCUUGUCUCUAGUUAGAGGCAGAAUUGAGGUCGCAGCUCGAAAGAGGUGGGCCUUUAAAUAGAGUAAGUUAUAGGUCUUAAAGACCUUGGUUAUGCGCUAGAGGCCAUUCGGUCUUGUCAUAGCUAAGGCUCUUGUAGGCCUCGCUCGUAAGAGCAACAUCUCUUUUGGUCUCAAAUCAGGCAGGACUACCCGCUGAACUUAA
Molecule: unclassified non-coding RNA, 318 nt
Filed under: uncultured fungus
Lineage: Eukaryota; Fungi
Description: sequence contains ITS1
Rfam family: 5.8S ribosomal RNA (bases 1-107)
Source: RNAcentral